UGCUCUUAUAUCUAUGAAUUGGAUUGAGAGCCUGUGCUGAUGGCAUGUUUUUGUCUUUUAUCAUUGUCAAGCUAAGAAGUGAGUUCAGUGUACCUCUAGUGAAGAAGGAAUAGUCUUGGUCUUGCUGUCGUAGAAAGUGGAGGAGGUGACAAAGUACUGGGCUUGACUGAGUAACCCAGCAAUGCAUUUCACCCGAGCCACCAGCUAUGCAGUGAGGCUCUCUGUGACACAGGUUGGGUCUGCGACUGGUAGGCAACCAAUUGACCGUCUGGUGUUACCAUCUGCAUUACUGCUGGCAGGUUUGGGACUAGGGCUUUCGACUUUCAGUGUAAAGCAGUUGCUGGCCACAGCAAGACCUAAAUUCUAAGGCAACAAGCAACACUGACCACGGCACACAACAGCAUACAGAAGAUUUUGAUGCUCAUCAAUGCAAUACUGACUUGUGCAGAAAGUUUCAACAGAACAGUGUAAUGUCAUUUAAUGUAUCUGUCAACUUUUUGCUGAAAGUUUAAAGUUUUUGUAACAAUUAGGCAUUAUAUAAUAAAAGUACGGAAUAUGCAAUUAUACCAUUUUCUUGUAAGCCAACUUAUGAUAUAAAUUUCUGAAUUUGAUAUAAUCUUCAGUAAGUGCAGUGGGCUUUCCUUGUAUAGAAAAGUAUUGUUGCAUUGAACUGUUCAGAUCGAAACAAAAUAUGUAGUGUAUCUGAUUUGGGCAGUUCUAUUUAGUUUUUUUCUCAGAUUAUUAUGACUGCCAUGUUUAAACACAAGCAAGUUAGUUCCUCCUAGAAUUGAUUUUCACAAGUUAUCAAAACUAUUAACACCUUCAUAGUGCAGUUGUAAAUUAUAUCUUAUAAAUGGUAAUUUUUCAAUUCUGUAUAGCCUAAAUUCAGGGAAAUUUUUGUAAUUGUGAUUUCUGAAAUAACUUGCUGUAUUUAUUACAUGGGAGUCUGUUUUUUAUGUUUGUUAAUGGUUUCCUAUGUUUAUAUUCCUACUCUAGUCCAUCAGACCAGGCCUUCACACGUUAUUCAUUCACGAUACACAGGAUCAUCUCUCAAUCUGAUAAUGCUACAGACACAAUUUGUACUCUGUCAUUUUACAGAGCCAUGUUAUUUAUUAAAAACUAGAAUUUUGUCACCUUUGGUAAGAUAAUGUAGAAAAUAAAUUAAAAGCAAACUGUUUA
This is a long non-coding RNA of Zootermopsis nevadensis, 1179 nucleotides long. RefSeq lists it as uncharacterized. The record is from RefSeq and is a predicted model, not a curated record. NCBI's taxonomy places the organism in Eukaryota, Metazoa, Arthropoda, Insecta, Blattodea, Termopsidae.